AUUGAACGCUGGCGGCAGGCCUAACACAUGCAAGUCGAGCGGAUUAAGGGAGCUUGCUCCUGGAUUCAGCUGCGGACGGGUGAGUAAUGCCUAGGAAUCUGCCUGGUAGUGGGGGAUAACGUCCGGAAACGGGCGCUAAUACCGCAUACGUCCUGAUGUAGAAAGUGGGGGAUCUUCGGACCUCACGCUAUCAGAUGAGCCUAGGUCGGAUUAGCUAGUUGGUUGGGUAAAGGCCUACCAAGGCGACGAUCCGUAACUGGUCUGAGAGGAUGAUCAGUCACACUGGAACUGAGACACGGUCCAGACUCCUACGGGAGGCAGCAGUGGGGAAUAUUGGACAAUGGGCGAAAGCCUGAUCCAGCCAUGCCGCGUGUGUGAAGAAGGUCUUCGGAUUGUAAAGCACUUUAAGUUGGGAGGAAGGGAAGUAAGUUAAUACCUUGAUGUUUUGACGUUACCAACAGAAUAAGCACCGGCUAACUUCGUG
This 484-nucleotide ribosomal RNA is filed under the name uncultured bacterium. RNAcentral's name for it is "partial 16S ribosomal RNA". It matches the Rfam family "Bacterial small subunit ribosomal RNA", at positions 30 to 507 of the family's 1533-position model. The record is from RNAcentral.